ACGGGAGGCAGCAGUGGGGAAUAUUGGGCAAUGGGCGAAAGCCUGACCCAGCAACGCCGCGUGAGGGAAGAAGGGUUUCGGCUCGUAAACCUCUGUCCUCAGGGACGAAGGAAGUGACGGUACCUGAGGAGGAAGCCCCGGCUAACUACGUGCCAGCAGCCGCGGUAAUACGUAGGGGGCGAGCGUUGUCCGGAAUGACUGGGCGUAAAGGGCGUGUAGGCGGCCGAUUAAGUCUGGAGUGAAAGUCCUGCAUUCAAUGUGGGAAUUGCUUUGGAGACUGGUUGGCUUGAGUGCGGAAGAGGUAAGUGGAAUUCCCAGUGUAGCGGUGAAAUGCGUAGAGAUUGGGAGGAACACCAGUGGCGAAGGCGACUUACUGGGCCGUACCUGACGCUGAGGCGCGAAAGCGUGGGGAGCGAACAGGAUUAGAUACCCUGGUA
RNAcentral lists this ribosomal RNA (437 nucleotides) under uncultured bacterium. Its description in RNAcentral is "partial 16S ribosomal RNA". It matches the Rfam family "Bacterial small subunit ribosomal RNA", at positions 341 to 792 of the family's 1533-position model. The record is from RNAcentral.